GGCUCGAUGGCGGACGGUCCGCGUCUGCACUGUAUUGUCGUGCAAGCGAGUACCGCAGAAUUUCCUCGUUCGACUCGGGGUCGAGCCA
Mycena vulgaris is the source of this 88-nucleotide non-coding RNA. NCBI's taxonomy places the organism in Eukaryota, Fungi, Basidiomycota, Agaricomycetes, Agaricales, Mycenaceae. The record is from the annotation of a GenBank genome assembly.